AGCGAACGCUGGCGGUAGGCCUAACACAUGCAAGUCGAACGGCAGCACAGUAAGAGCUUGCUCUUACGGGUGGCGAGUGGAGGACGGGUGAGGAAUACAUCGGAAUCUACUUUUUCGUGGGGGAUAACGUAGGGAAACUUACGCUAAUACCGCAUACGACCUACGGGUGAAAGCAGGGGAUCUUCGGACCUUGCGCGAUUGAAUGAGCCGAUGUCGGAUUAGCUAGUUGGCGGGGUAAAGGCCCACCAAGGCGACGAUCCGUAGCUGGUCUGAGAGGAUGAUCAGCCACACUGGAACUGAGACACGGUCCAGACUCCUACGGGAGGCAGCGGUGGGGAAUAUUGGACAAAGGGCGCAAGACUGAUCCAGCCAUACCGCGUGGGUGAAGAAGGCCUUCGGGCUGUAAAGCCCUUUUGUUGGGAAAGAAAAGCAGCAGGUUAAUACCCCGCUGUUCUGACGGUACCCAAAGAAUAAGCACCGGCUAACUUCGUG
This 492-nucleotide ribosomal RNA is filed under the name uncultured bacterium. Its description in RNAcentral is "partial 16S ribosomal RNA". It matches the Rfam family "Bacterial small subunit ribosomal RNA", at positions 29 to 507 of the family's 1533-position model. The record is from RNAcentral.